This 301-nucleotide ribosomal RNA is filed under the name uncultured bacterium. Its description in RNAcentral is "partial 16S ribosomal RNA". It matches the Rfam family "Bacterial small subunit ribosomal RNA", at positions 509 to 807 of the family's 1533-position model. The record is from RNAcentral.
CAGUCGCCACGGGAAUACGGAGGGUGCAAGCGUUACUCGGAAUCACUGGGCGUAAAGGACGCGUAGGCGGAUUAUCAAGUCUCUUGUGAAAUCUAACGGCUUAACCGUUAGACUGCUUGGGAAACUGAUAAUCUAGAGUAAGGGAGAGGCAGAUGGAAUUCUUGGUGUAGGGGUAAAAUCCGUAGAUAUCAAGAAGAAUACCUAUCGCGAAGGCGAUCUGCUGGAACUUAACUGACGCUAAUGCGUGAAAGCGUGGGGAGCAAACAGGAUUAGAGACCCCAGUAGUCCCUGUCUCUUAUAC